Molecule: long non-coding RNA, 2075 nt
Organism: Uranotaenia lowii
Lineage: Eukaryota; Metazoa; Arthropoda; Insecta; Diptera; Culicidae
Exons: 4
Source: RefSeq, a predicted model, not a curated record
UAAGUUAAUUUGAGUUGUAAAAAAUAACUUUGCUCAAAUUUGAGUACAAAGAUAUAGGCGACAAUUGCGUGCCAUUUGGAACUUCAGUUUUGCUAGUUGAUCGUGUUGUUUUGGUUGCAUGUGUUAUUUUAAUUCGAUCCGCUGAAAACUGUCUCGACUCCCGACUUUCAAAUUCCGGCUCAAUUGUCUCGACUGUGGGCUGUUCCUGGAGUCCGGUUGUUGUUUCGAAGACAGAAUGCUGACAUUGGAUGGUGUUUUCUGGCUGCUGUUAGCUUUCAGCUAUUGGAAAAGGUGCCCCGGGCGAUGCGACUCAGCCGAAGACUAAAUAAACCGGCUCAAAUGUCUCGACUCGGAUCGGACUGGAGGAUGUGGGCUGUUCCUGGAGCCCGGUGGUUGUGUCGAAGACAGAAUGCUGAUAUUGGAUGGCGCUUUCUGGCUGCUGUUGGCUUUCAGCUAUUGAAAAAGGUGCCCCGGGCGAUGCGAUUCAGCCAAGGACUAAAUAAACGCCAGUUUUUUUGGAGUGUACCAAUAUAACUUGGACAGAAAUUUAUUUCAAAAUCUGCAAGAUGUUAAGGCUGUCGUGAUACAUUAGAUUCUCGUGGAAACUUUUCCUACGCAAAGGUUCCGGCGUUCCCUGGCUGAGACUUUCGGAGCAGUGCCGCGCUCGGAGGCUUUUGGAUUCCAACGCUGCUGCUAACUGUGAUGGCAGUCCAAACGUACCAUAUAGCGGUGCCGGUUCGGCUGACUAUGAACUCGGAACGGCCACUUUCCGCAGCUAUUGUCGGUUUACGGGGUGCUUUCGAAACACGUGGCGUAUACCAGUUCAAAUCUUUCUUCGUGUUGAUGUUUUUGUUUGUGAAGUUUUCGUGUAAGAUACGAUAUAUGUUCCAAUAAGUAUUAUCAAGUAUUAUCAUCAUGUUUAUAUUGACAGUCAAAUUGACUGAUUUUGUUAUACAAAACUAAAACAAAAUCGAAUAAAAGUUUGAUGCGAUUUGAUUUUAGUAUUGAUAUGUAUGGAAAAACACAUUUUUUGUUACUAUUCGAAAAUUACUCCAAUAAGAAAAAAGCGAUCAAUUUUGAAAUUUUCAGCUUAGUAAAUGGUUUGUCGGCCUGGUCUACAUGCGUGGGUAUAUCGAUCAUAGAAAAAAACAUACCGAUCAAAAUCAAUUAAGAACAUGAAUAUAAAAUUAAAGAUUACAAUAUAAAAAACACCAUUUAAAUAUCAUCUGAAUCGAAGAUUACCAUCUGUUAAAAGAGUUUAACUAUUUUAUAACAGAUUUAUAAGACUUUCUCAUAGUUUAACUACAAAUUCGAUUAAAUUUUAGAGGUUUUCAUAAAAAUCAGAACAAUUCAGGACAUUUAGGCACCAAUUUUUAAAACUCAGGACAACUCGAGAGUUUUUAAAAGAUUAAGACGGUCUCUCGAAAAUCAGGACAAAUCCCGAUAAAUUAGGUUACCUGGCACCUCUGAGCACAAGAGAAACAACAACAACAACUGAACAAUUGUAAUGCACGUCAGAGGUACCAGGUGUCCUGAUUUUUCAGGACUUGUCCUGACUUUCGAGAGGUUGUCCUGAUUUUUCUAAAACUUUCGAAUUUUCCUGAUUUUUGACAAUUUGUUUUCAAAAUGUUGAAUUGUCCUGGAUGUCAAAAAAAUCUAAAAUCACAAUCGAAUUUGUAAUUGAACUAUGAAAACUACGAACAAAUCGGUUAUGUCCUGAUUUAUGACAAAACCACCUGGAACCCCUUAUUUACGUACAUAACUAUAACUAUGCCCAGGGUGUAAGGUGUCCUGAUUUUUCAGGAUUUGUCCUGAUUUUCGAGAGGCCGUCCUGAUUUUCGAGAGGCCGUCCUGAUUUUUGAAAAACGCUUGAAUUGUCCUAAUUUUUGAAAAAUGGCCCAUAAAUGUCCUGAUUUAAAAAAAAAAUUCCAAAUUAUAACUAAAUAUAUUGCCAAAUGACGAGAACAUCAAACAAAGCUUAAAUAAAGUAGAUAUAGUAAAGUUAAAAUAUAGUAAAUAAAGCAAGCUUCGAAAACGAUGUUUUUUCACUCCUCGAUAAAAUGCGUGCUUCUUCA